Molecule: long non-coding RNA, 2609 nt
Organism: Meriones unguiculatus (Mongolian gerbil)
Lineage: Eukaryota; Metazoa; Chordata; Mammalia; Rodentia; Muridae
Exons: 3
Source: RefSeq, a predicted model, not a curated record
AGUCCUUGGAAUCUGUCUUGAUGGCUCUUCUGCUGCAGCAAUGGCUUACCUAUCCUUAAUGCAGUCUCUAAGGCUGACAGGUGUUGGGGGAAAAAGAUCAUGGAACUCUUUGGGCUGCAGACAUGGCAGCUCUAGGUUAGCAACCUCUGGGGAGCAGAAGAUGCACGUGAUUGCUCUGCAAGGACCUUUGUUUUGGGUACAUCCCUUCCCACUCUGGCCAAGAAACUCGGGCUGAGACCCAUUCUGUUUUCUGGCCAGUGAUGCUCAGGCAUUCGGAGCAACCCUGGGAGGCCCUCUUCCAUUUUUCUUCUCCUGUGAAAGAGCAUCUUACAGAUAACCCUUCCCUGAGACCCUAAGGACCACAGUCUCCUGCUCCUCCUCUCGUGGCUCUAGAAAGAGCCUAUAGAGCAAGGUGCAGAGUCAAAGCCAAAAGAAAAACUGUUCUGGACCUGUUCCUUCUUGAACAGACAUAAUUUACUCCACCUCUCUGGUACUUCGGUUUCUCAGAGGGCUUCCAAGACAUGGGACGCAGAGGCGAAGCAAGUAUAUAGGAGCAACUUUGCCAGCUCCCUCCGGACACCAGACUACUGGGUACAAAGCCCUUCUAUACCUCCAACCUGGCAUCAACUCUGAGAGGGAACUUGCAGCCUGAGUUCCAGCUUGUAUCAAGUAAACCCUCAUGUGUUUGCAGCAGAGUCAAUUCCUGGUGGUCUUUGAGGGUCUCACGAACUGUACAUAACAGUCAGAAGCUUCAACAUCUUUGCAUCCACCUCCACUCAUCAUAAGAGACAAAAGGCUGAGCAGAACAAGGGAAGGGUGAUUACAAAUACCUGGGCCUAGUCUGGAGCCUGGAGUAGCCAUGAGGAAGUUCAGCUGUCCCCAGACAUCUUGAACAAUACAGAGCCAGACCCUGCAGAACCCACCUCUAACCCCACAGGACACACAGCAUUCUCCUGGUCUUCCAGACACUAAGAAUGGCCCCCAAGUACCUACUGAAGUCUGGGGCUUAAGGCCAUAGUAGAUCUCCUUGUCCUAGCAACCUCAGAAUACAGGAGUUGAGAUUUGAGAACAGACUAGACCCCUUUCCUAGGGAAAGGAAGGAAAAGGAUUUCUUGGAAGUCCUUGUUGCUCGCCAAGUCCCUGUUGUUGUUCCUGAAAGGACACUGCACACAGCCCUUCCCAGUGGACACUCAGACUCUGACCUUGGCCUACAAGCUCUUUAAUGUGACCCAAACAGACCAUUUUAAAGCUUUCUGGCUGUGUGUCCCACCUGGGACCAACUCAGAACUACUGAAGACAGCUUCUCCGGUGAUUCUGUCAAGUAACCUUCACCAUUCACUAACUGCCCUGACUCUGAUGUUGCCACAACCUCCUACCUUUUUCAUAUCACUCUCUUUGGUGUGGCAAGCUGUUUUAAGGCAUCUGGGACUCUGUAGAAAUGCUAAGUUCCUUAGACUGUAAUAAAACUAUAAUCCUUGAUACCUCAUCUCAACCCCAGUGCCCUACUGCUAAUAAUACCUCGAUUCUUUGUGGUACUCAGGUCUACCAUCGUCUGCCUGCUGGUUGGCCAGGAGUUUGCAUACUGGUGCUCCUCUUCCCCGAGCUGGGGGUGAUAAAUGAAAAGGAGCCCCUACCAACCCCAGCCACAGACUCAAUAAGAAGACAAUUCAGAUCUUGCCCCUCUUGACUAUUGCAAGAAUCACGGCAGCUUUCGGGACCGGGACAGCAGGACUAGCCACUUCACUAACUCUGUAUUAUCAGCUUUCUUCCAAGUUCAUCCAGGACCUCCAGGAAGUGGCUCAGACAAUACUAACUCUCCAAGGACAGACUGACUCCCUGGCAGCAGUAGUACUUCAAAACCGAUGUGGAUUGGAUCUCCUCACAGCUAACGAAGGUGGCUUUUGCAUCUUCCUCCAGGAGGAAUGCUGUUUUUAUGUCAACCAGUAGGGAAUAGUGAAAGACAAAAUCCAACAACUCCAGACAAAUCUACAAAAGUGAAGAGAACAGCUCAAGGCCUCUAGCUCUUGGGCCUUCGAGAAUCCCAUAUGGAAAUGGAUUCUGCCCUUCCUCACACCUCUCCUGCUUUUGCCUUUUGCACCCUGCUUUAUUAACUUCUCUACAUUUCUCCAACAACAAAUCCAAGAAUUCUCUAACCAAAUCAUUAAUCAGUUACUCUUACAGGAUUAUCAACCUCUGCCCACAGAACCAGAUGACAAUGACCUUCCAAUCAACCCUGAUGGUGGGGACCAGCUGUACCCUGAGAAAGACAACGCCCCUAAUCAGCAGGAAGUAACUAGAAGAGCACAGGCGACCCCUAUGCCCUCCCCACCAUCACCCCCUUCCUGGCUCCUCACUUUUUAAUAAAACAAAAAGGGAAGAAUGUUGGGAUCCACAGGCAGGCAUCUCUAUGGCCAGCCCCAAGGGACCUGACAAAUGGGACAUCAGGCAUCUGUGAGGCCAUCUAUGGACCACCUGAAAACACCUGCACCUGCUCUGGGUCACCUUACAAGAGAACUUGCACCACCAUCUCCCUUUCUCUCUCUCUCCCACCUUGCCCAGAGAUUGUCUCUGUGACCCCCUCCCCUUCCCUAAAUAAACCUCCCACUCGG